UUACAUACCAGAACUAUGUGAACCUGAAUUUCGAUGAUGAUCCUCCUUCGACGUCCCUUGCUAGUUUGUUUGAGGAGAAUGAGCAGGUUGAAAAAUACUUGAGGUUAUUUAUAUGAAUGCUUUCUUCUCGCAAUACUUUUCAGUGGCACUGGAUGUUGAUGACCACCAAGUGUGGUUGAUUCGUGCUAGCAAACUUUUGACAUUCACAGGUAUUGUAUGCAGCAAGGAGCAUUUACAUAGCAUUGCGAGAAGAAAGUUGUAGCUACUGGAUACCAAGAAUGCAUUAGAGGACUCACAUUUGUGUCAGCUAGGA
This is a long non-coding RNA of Lolium rigidum, 313 nucleotides long. RefSeq lists it as uncharacterized. The record is from RefSeq and is a predicted model, not a curated record. The transcript is spliced from 3 exons. Lineage: Eukaryota; Viridiplantae; Streptophyta; Magnoliopsida; Poales; Poaceae.